GACGAACGCUGGCGGCGUGCUUAACACAUGCAAGUCGAACGGAAAGGCCCUGCUUUUGUGGGGUGCUCGAGUGGCGAACGGGUGAGUAACACGUGAGUAACCUGCCCUUGACUUUGGGAUAACUUCAGGAAACUGGGGCUCAUACCGGAUAGGAGCUCCUGCUGCAUGGUGGGGGUUGGAAAGUUUCGGCGGUUGGGGAUGGAAUCGCGGCUUAUCAGCUUGUUGGUGGGGUAGUGGCUUACCAAGGCUUUGACGGGUAGCCGGCCUGAGAGGGUGACCGGCCACAUUGGGACUGAGAGACGCCGCAGACUCCUACGGGAGGCAGCAGUGGGGAAUAUGGCACAAUGGGCGGAAGCCUGAUGCAGCAACGCCGCGUGCGUGAUGACGGCCUUCGGGUUGUAAACCGCUUUCGCCUGUGACGAAGCGUGAGUGACGGUAAUGGGUAAAGAAGCACCGGCUAACUACGUG
RNAcentral lists this ribosomal RNA (468 nucleotides) under uncultured bacterium. Its description in RNAcentral is "partial 16S ribosomal RNA". It matches the Rfam family "Bacterial small subunit ribosomal RNA", at positions 28 to 507 of the family's 1533-position model. The record is from RNAcentral.